GAUGAACGUUGGCGGCGUGCCUAAUACAUGCAAGUCGAACGAGGACUGUAGUAAUACUGUCUUAGUGGCGAACGGGUGAGUAACGCGUGGGUGACCUGCCCCGAAGUGUGGGAUAACAGUCCGAAAGGAUUGCUAAUACUGCAUAAUAUCCAAGAGAUUAGAUGCUUUUGGAUUAAAGGAGUAAUUCGCUUCGGGAGGGGCCCGCGUCCCAUCAGCUAGUUGGUAAGGUAAUGGCUUACCAAGGCGAUGACGGGUAGGGGACCUGAGAGGGUGGCCCCCACAAUGGAACUGAAACACGGUCCAUACACCUACGGGUGGCAGCAGUAGGGAAUAUUAGUAAUGGGCGAAAGCCUGAACUAGCAACGCCGCGUGUGCGAAGAAGGCCUUCGGGUCGUAAAGCACUUUUGUAGAGGAUGAGGAAGGACGGUACGUCUCAGAAUAAGUACUCGGCUAACUACGUG
Molecule: ribosomal RNA, 461 nt
Filed under: uncultured bacterium
Lineage: Bacteria
Description: bacterial SSU rRNA
Rfam family: Bacterial small subunit ribosomal RNA
Source: RNAcentral